Molecule: ribosomal RNA, 546 nt
Filed under: Massarina sp. SCSGAF0188
Lineage: Eukaryota; Fungi; Ascomycota; Dothideomycetes; Pleosporales; Massarinaceae
Description: eukaryotic LSU rRNA
Rfam family: 5.8S ribosomal RNA (bases 160-313)
Source: RNAcentral
GUGCCUGGUUCGCGGCUCGCCGGUCUGCUCGAUAGCGUGCCUUUGCGUACUUGAGCUCUGUCCUGUUUCCUCGGAGGGCUUGCCCGCCACACGAGGACCCCCACAAACCUCUUGCAAACGCAGCAAACAGUCUGAGAAACACAAUCAAAACCUAAUCAAAACUUUCAACAAUGGAUCUCUUGGUUCUGGCAUCGAUGAAGAACGCAGCAAAAUGCGAUAAGUAGUGUGAAUUGCAGAAUUCAGUGAAUCAUCGAAUCUUUGAACGCACAUUGCGCCCUUUGGUAUUCCUUAGGGCAUGCCUGUUCGAGCGUCAUUUACACCCUCAAGCGCAGCUUGGUGUUGGGCGCCUGUCCCCGUCCACCCCCCCGCGGGUGCGCGGACUCGCCUUGAAACUAUUGGCAGCGGACCCGUCGGCCCCCCAGCGCACCAGAAUUGCGUCCCUGGGCGGCCCGGCGGGUGGCUCUCCACGAAGCUUUCUCACCCAAGUUUGACCUCGGAUCAGGUAGGGAUACCCGCUGAACUUAAGCAUAUCAAUAAGCGGAGGAA